GACGAACGCUGGCGGCGUGCUUAACACAUGCAAGUCGAACGGUAAGGCCCUUCGGGGUACACGAGUGGCGAACGGGUGAGUAACACGUGGGUGAUCUGCCCUGCACUUCGGGAUAAGCCUGGGAAACUGGGUCUAAUACCGGAUAGGACUCCGGACUGCAUGGUCUGGGGUGGAAAGCUUUUGCGGUGUGGGAUGGGCCCGCGGCCUAUCAGCUUGUGGGUGGGGUGAUGGCCUACCAAGGCGACGACGGGUAGCCGGCCUGAGAGGGUGACCGGCCACACUGGGACUGAGAUACGGCCCAGACUCCUACGGGGGGCAGCAGUGGGGAAUAUUGCACAAUGGGCGCAAGCCUGACGCAGCGACGCCGCGUGAGGGAUGACGGCCUUCGGGUUGUAAACCUCUUUCAGCAUCGACGAAGCGAAAGUGACGGUAGGUGCAGAAGAAGGACCGGCCAACUACGUGCCAGCCGCCGCCGUAA
Molecule: ribosomal RNA, 478 nt
Filed under: uncultured bacterium
Lineage: Bacteria
Description: partial 16S ribosomal RNA
Rfam family: Bacterial small subunit ribosomal RNA
Source: RNAcentral